Molecule: ribosomal RNA, 469 nt
Filed under: uncultured bacterium
Lineage: Bacteria
Description: SSU rRNA
Rfam family: Bacterial small subunit ribosomal RNA
Source: RNAcentral
AGGACGAACGCUGGCGGCGUGCUUCACACAUGCAAGUCGAGCGGAAAGGCCCUUCGGGGUACUCGAGCGGCGAACGGGUGAGUAACACGUGAGUAACCUGCCCUUAGCACCGGGAUAGCUCCGGGAAACCGGAAUUAAUACCGGAUAUGACCACGAUCGGCAUCGGUCGUGGUGGAAAGGAUUCCGGCUAGGGAUGGACUCGCGGCCUAUCAGCUAGUUGGUUGGGGUAACGGCCCACCAAGGCGACGACAGGUAGCCGGCCUGAGAGGGCGACCGGCCACACUGGGACUGAGACACGGCCCAGACUCCUACGGGAGGCAGCAGUGGGAAUAUUGCGCAAUGGGCGAAAGCCUGACGCAGCGACGCCGCGUGAGGGAUGAAGGCCUUCGGGUUGUAAACCUCUUUCAGCAGGGACGAUUAUGACGGUACCUGCAGAAGAAGCACCGGCCAACUACGUGCCAGCAGCCGC